UACAGAGGGUGCGAGCGUUGUCCGGAAUCACUGGGCGUAAAGGGCGCGUAGGCGGCUGGGUAAGCGUGUGGUGAAAGUCCGGGGCUCAACCCCGGAUCGGCCAUGCGAACUGUCCAGCUGGAGCACGGUAGAGGCACAUGGAAUUCCGGGUGUAGCGGUGGAAUGCGUAGAGAUCCGGAAGAACACCGGUGGCGAAGGCGGUGUGCUGGGCCGUAGCUGACGCUGAGGCGCGACAGCGUGGGGAG
This 245-nucleotide ribosomal RNA is filed under the name uncultured bacterium. Its description in RNAcentral is "partial 16S ribosomal RNA". It matches the Rfam family "Bacterial small subunit ribosomal RNA", at positions 524 to 768 of the family's 1533-position model. The record is from RNAcentral.